This is a long non-coding RNA of Astyanax mexicanus (Mexican tetra), 2629 nucleotides long. RefSeq lists it as uncharacterized. The record is from RefSeq and is a predicted model, not a curated record. Lineage: Eukaryota; Metazoa; Chordata; Actinopteri; Characiformes; Acestrorhamphidae. The transcript has 3 exons.
UUGCUAAGGUGUUGCUAGGUGGUUGCUAAGGUGUUGUUAUGGUAUCCUGGGUGGUUGCUAAGGUGUUGCUAGGUGGUUGCUAGGCGGUUGCUAAGGUGUUGUUAUGGCAUCCGGGGUGGUUGCUAAGAUGUUGCUAGGUGGUUGCUAAGGUGUUGCUAUAGUAUCCGGGGUGGUUGCUAAGGUGUUGCUAGGCGGUUGCUAGGCGGUUGCUAAGGUGUUGCUAUGGUGUCUGUGGUGGUUGCUAAGGUGUUGCUAGGUGGUUGCUAAGAUGUUGCUAUGGUAUCUGGGGUGGUUGCUAAGGUGUUGCUAGGUGUAUCUGACUGGUCGCUAGGCAGUUGCUACCAUUUCUAAAGUGGUUGCUAAGCAGUUGCUAACGUUUUCCAGGUGGUUGCUAAGGUGUUGCUAUCUGGUUGCUAGGCAGUUGCUAACGUAUUACACAUGGUUGCUAAGUGGUUGCUAGGCAGUUGCUAAUGUUUUCCAGGUGGUUGCUAAGGUGUAUCUAACUGGUUGCUAGGCAGUAGUAGAUAAAAAGAAAGAGUGUUAAAUGUAGAAGUACAGAAAAAGGGAGAGCCUGAAAUAGAGAAGUAGAGAGAAAAUCAGCGUGAGAAGUAGAAAAAGAACACCCGAGAAUGUGAGAAAAAGAGUGACAAGUAGAGAGAAAUAUUGAGCGAGAGAAAGAGAAUUAGGGAAAAAGAGAGAUCGAGAAAUAAAGAAGUAGAGAAAGAAAGAGGAUGUAGUAGAGAGAUAGAUAGAAAGAGAAAGCAAGACAGAAAAGUAGAGUGAAAGAGAAGUAGAGAGAAGAGCGAGAAAUAAAGAGUAAGAGAGAAAUAGAGAAAUAGAAAAGUAGAAAGAAAGAGACAUAGAAAAGUAGAGAGAGUGAGAAAUAGAGAAGUAGAGAGAGAGAGUGAGAAAGAGAGAGUGAGAAAUAGAGAAGAAGAGAGCAAAAGAGAGUGAGAAAUAGAGAAGCAGAGAGAGAGUGAGAAAUAGAGAAGUAGAGAGAGAGUGAGAAAGAGAGAGUGAGAAAUAGAGACGUAGAGAGAGUGAGAAAUAGAGACGUAGAGAGAGAGUGAGAAAGAGAGUGAGAAAUAGAGAAGUAGAGAGAGAGUGAGAAAUAGAGACGUAGAGAGAGAGUGAAAAAGAGAGUGAGAAAUAUAGAAGUAGAGAGAGUGAGAAAUAUAGAAGUAGAGAGAGAGAGUGAGAAAUAGAGACGUAGAGAGAGAGUGAGAAAGAGAGAGUGAGAUAGAGAAGUAGAGAGAGAGUGAGAAAUAGAGUGAGAAAUAGACGUAGAGAGAGAGUGAGAAAGAGAGUGAGAAAUAGAGACGUAGAGAGAGAGUGAGAAAUAGAGUGAGAAAUAGAGACGUAGAGAGAGAGUGAGAAAGAGAGUGAGAAAUAGAGACGUAGAGAGAGAGUGAGAAAGAGAGAGUGGUUGCUAAACAGUUAAUAGGUGGUUGCAAAGCGCUGGCUGGGGUGCCCGGGGUGUCCAAACUUUUGACUGAUAGCUGCUCCAUACAGCAGCUCCUCCAUACACUCACAGUACUGGAGGAGCAGGGGAGAGAAGGGGUUCCGUGCGCAGAGCUGCUCGUGUGUGAGAUGGAACUCUGGGCCCCCCAUUCAUUUCUAUGGGAAAACUUCGUACGACAAUUGUACGAAAACCGUACGUCGUAUCGCUUCGCAACCUACUAUUAAUUUAAAGAUCUUGAUAAGAUCUAUUAGCUCGCCGAAUUUGGUCUUCGUAUCUCAAAAAUUGUGACCGUCACGGACGUUCAAAAUUCUCCCCCAUUCAUUCCUAUGGGGAAAAAAUGCGUACGUUUACGAAGUUUUUACGAAAACCGUACGAUAAAUCGCUCCAAAAAGCACAAGCAACGUAAUUCACUAUAGGUCCUACGAUCCGUGAAAGUUUCGUGAUUCUACGAUAAAAGCUCUAGGAGGAGUAGCGUACAGAAAAAAAGGCGUAAGAAUAAUAAUAAUAACUAGAAAAGGAAAGUUCGAUAACGAACUUUAAGUUGGCUUGGAAAAGUACGUUAAUAACGUUGAAAAAGUUAAAAUGGUUGCUAAGAUAUUUCUGUCUAAAGCGUGUGAAGAGUGGUUGCUUUGCUGUUGACUUUCAGCUAAAUGUUAAAGUCCAAAAAGUUUUGGCUAACAUGGUGAAAAGCUAAUAAUUGUCUUAUAAAGUAAUAUAAACACUUUACUUUAUAUAUACCUAUAUAAAUUAAAGUGUUGCUAAGUGGUUGCUAGGUAGUUACUAGGCAGUUGCUAAUGUAUUCCACAUCGUUGCUUAGUGUUUGCUAAUUGGUUGCUAAGCAGAUUCUUACAUAUUCCAGGUGGUUGCUAAGCUGUUGCUAACUGGUUGCUAGGCAAUUGCUAAUGUAUUCCACAUGGUUGUUAAGUGGUUGCUAGGCAGUUUCUAAUAUUUUCCAGGUGGUUGCUAAGUGGUUGCUAACUGGUUGCUAUGCAGUUGCUAACAUAUUCCACAUGGUUUCCAAGUGGUUGCUAAGGUGUUGAUAUGGUAUCCGGGUUGGUUGCUAAGGUGUUGCUAGGUGGUUGCUAAGGUGUUGCUAUGGUAUCCAGGGUGGUUGGUAAGGUGUUGCUAGGUGGUUGCUAAGGUGUUGCUAUGGUAUCCGGGGUGUUG